GGAUGUGAGGGCGAUCUGGCUGCUACAUCUGUCACCCCAUUGAUUGCCAGGACUUAUUCAGCUGAUUUGGUUGGUCAGGUGGGUGUCCCCUUUCUCCCUCACUGCUCCCAAAGCUUUGCGCUGGGUCAAAGAGGAGGACAGUUUCCUGGGUCAAGGGUAUAUGAGUAGCUGUGUUCCCCUGCUAGAACCACCAAACAAGCUCUCAAAAUAAAAUUUAGAAAGGGCUGGCAGCUGGGUAUGGUGGCACAGGCCUGUAAACACAGCACUCAGAAGGCACACCUAUAUUGCUAGCG
This 293-nucleotide small nuclear RNA is filed under the name Heterocephalus glaber (naked mole-rat). RNAcentral describes it as "7SK RNA". It matches the Rfam family "7SK RNA". Rfam says of the family: 7SK was discovered as an abundant small nuclear RNA in the mid-70s but a possible function has only recently been suggested. Two independent studies have found that 7SK RNA binds the CDK9/cyclin T complex (known as elongation factor P-TEFb). The record is from Rfam by way of RNAcentral. Lineage: Eukaryota; Metazoa; Chordata; Mammalia; Rodentia; Bathyergidae.